CGCUGGCGGCGUGCCUAACACAUGCAAGUCGAACGGAGAAUUUCAAUAAGCUUGCUUAGAGAAAUUCUUAGUGGCGGACGGGUGAGUAACGCGUGGGUAACCUACCCAUAAAGCCGGGACAACCCUUGGAAACGAGGGCUAAUACCGGAUAAUCUUGAGUUGUGGCAUCACGAUUCAAGGAAAGAUGGCCUCUGAAAAUGCUAUCGAUUAUGGAAGGACCCGCGUCUGAUUAGCUAGUUGGUGGGGUAAAGGCCUACCAAGGCGACGAUCAGUAGCCGGCCUGAGAGGGUGAACGGCCACACUGGGAYUGAGACACGGCCCAGACUCCUACGGGAGGCAGCAGUGGGGAAUCUUCCGCAAUGGACGAAAGUCUGACGGAGCAACGCCGCGUGUAUGAUGAAGGUCUUCGGAUUGUAAAGUACUGUCUUUGGGGAAGAACGGUUUUCUUGAGAAGAUUGAGGAGACAUGACGGUACCCAAGGAGGAAGCCCCGGCAA
Molecule: ribosomal RNA, 496 nt
Filed under: uncultured Desulfosporosinus sp.
Lineage: Bacteria; Bacillati; Bacillota; Clostridia; Eubacteriales; Desulfitobacteriaceae
Description: bacterial SSU rRNA
Rfam family: Bacterial small subunit ribosomal RNA
Source: RNAcentral